CUCCGGUUGAUCCCGCCGGACCCGACUGCUAUCAGAGUGGGACUGAGCCAUGCGAGUCAACAUAGCAAUAUGUGGCAUACGGCUCAGUAACACGUAGUCAACAUGCCCAGGGGACGUGGAUAACCUCGGGAAACUGAGGAUAAACCGCGAUAGGUCAUCACUUCUGGAAUGGGUAAUGACUUAAAUCUAUAUGGCCUCUGGAUUGGACUGCGGCCGAUCAGGCUGUUGGUGAGGUAAUGGCCCACCAAACCUGUAACCGGUACGGGCUCUGAGAGGAGGAGCCCGGAGAUGGGCACUGAGACAAGGGCCCAGGCCCUAUGGGGCGCAGCAGGCGCGAAACCUCUGCAAUAGGCGAAAGCUUGACAGGGUUACUCUGAGUGAUUUCCGUUAAGGAGAUCUUUUGGCACCUCUAAAAAUGGUGCAGAAUAAGGGGUGGGCAAGUCUGGUGUCAGCCGCCGCGGUAAUACCAGCACCCCGAGUGGUCGGGACGUUUAUUGGGCCUAAAGCAUCCGUAGCCGGUUCUACAAGUCUUCCGUUAAAUCCACCUGCUUAACAGAUGGGCUGCGGAAGAUACUAUAGAGCUAGGAGGCGGGAGAGGCAAGCGGUACUCGAUGGGUAGGGGUAAAAUCCGUUGAUCCAUUGAAGACCACCAGUGGCGAAGGCGGCUUGCCAGAACGCGCUCGACGGUGAGGGAUGAAAGCUGGGGGAGCAAACCGGAUUAGAUACCCGGGUAGUCCCAGCCGUAAACGAUGCAGACUCGGUGAUGGGUUGGCUUCGCGCUAACCCAGUGCCGCAGGGAAGCCGUUAAGUCUGCCGCCUGGGUAGUACGGUCGCAAGACUGAAACUUAAAGGAAUUGGCGGGGGAGCA
This 868-nucleotide ribosomal RNA is filed under the name uncultured archaeon. Its description in RNAcentral is "bacterial SSU rRNA". It matches the Rfam family "Archaeal small subunit ribosomal RNA", at positions 1 to 878 of the family's 1478-position model. The record is from RNAcentral.